Molecule: long non-coding RNA, 1359 nt
Filed under: Salvia miltiorrhiza (redroot sage)
Lineage: Eukaryota; Viridiplantae; Streptophyta; Magnoliopsida; Lamiales; Lamiaceae
Description: long non-coding RNA (SMIL_LNC006144)
Source: RNAcentral
AGUCAGAAUCUCCAAGAUGAACAUAAACAUUCUCAACCUUUAUGCUUCUUUGAUUUGCAAGAAAUCAAACCGAACAAAUCCAGAGAACGGCUAAAGAGAACUAUAACAAAUCUGUCGAGAGUUUAAACAUAAUCCGGUAGGAAAUAAAGCAGGACGUUUUCGUAUUUUAAAUGAGUUUUUCUUCAUUACAGUGCCCUAUUCAUUCAUCACCAUACAAUUCCUGGUAGAAAUGCAGCAGAUACAGGGUUGGGAUUAAGUGAGAAUUAUACAUGAACAAAUCCAUGAAAUUCAUGAAAAAAUCAAUGAAAUCCAUGAACAAAUAAAUGUAUCACAUGAACAACCACAUUAACUGAAUGUGGCUGUUCAUGUGUUACAUUGUUUUGUUCAUUGAUUUUAUUGAUUUAUUCAUGUAUUCUCAUUUCUCACUGGUUCUCCAUUCUCAUUUUAUAUAGUGGUUCUUAUUUGUAACUUCUCCCAAUACAUAUAUCAAUCUAUAGGAAGGUCUACAAUUGUGAAGUUAUAAGGACUCAAAGAGACAGUAAUUUGACUGACUCUAGAUUCAUCCCCAUAUUAUUUAUGCUAUACAUUUCAAAUUUCUAUUACAAAAUUCCUUCAGAAAAUAAAUACCAAAUAACAAUCUGCAUCAGCUCUGAACAGCACAAAACCAUCUGCAAAAUCUACAGUCUAGGGCAGCUACAGGCAUAAAAAAAUCAAGGUUUCUCAGAGAGCUCAUAGUGACAAUUUAUACUAUUUUUUUUGAUUUAUAAUAAAAUUAAUUAACUGAAAUUAAAACAAAAUUAACUGAAAUUACAUACCUCAAACCGGUGGCUGAUUCCCUGCAGAGACGGCGGCGGAGGUGUGAUGGCGAAGGACAGCGGCGGAGGCUGAAUUCCUGCUGGUACAGAUCGGCCGGUGAAGGCAGAUCUUCACGGCAGGGCAGAAGGACGUCGAGGCGGAGGUGGGCGGAGGUCGAGCGACGCGUUAUAAAAUGGUGGCCGGAGACCUCGAUUCAAUGCAAAUCAUAGACCCAAAUCUCUCACCUAAACCUCUCUCGUCCCUCUCCUUUCCAUAUAACCUCCGGAGAGCUGGUGGCCGCGAUUUAGGGACCUAGGGUUUGGAAAAAUAGGUUGUGGUGCUAUCGCUUGAGAUGCGGGCGGCGACGGCUGUAAUUGAGCAGUGGAGAUAGAGAGAAAUGCGGAGGCGCGGCGUGCUGGCUGUGUUGUCGCCAGAGCUGGGUAGGAGAGGCGACGAUUUCACUGUGGUCGACGCGACGCGGUGCGAGGCAACGGUGAGGCUGAGAGAGAUAUGUUUUGGGACUGAGAGAGAUAGCGGCGCGUUACAAACGAGAGAGAGAGAGAG